RNAcentral lists this ribosomal RNA (340 nucleotides) under Enterobacter hormaechei. RNAcentral's name for it is "bacterial SSU rRNA". The record is from RNAcentral. RNAcentral also lists the same sequence under 1 other name. Lineage: Bacteria; Pseudomonadati; Pseudomonadota; Gammaproteobacteria; Enterobacterales; Enterobacteriaceae.
AAAUUGAAGAGUUUGAUCAUGGCUCAGAUUGAACGCUGGCGGCAGGCCUAACACAUGCAAGUCGAACGGUAACAGGAAGCAGCUUGCUGCUUYGCUGACGAGUGGCGGACGGGUGAGUAAUGUCUGGGAAACUGCCUGAUGGAGGGGGAUAACUACUGGAAACGGUAGCUAAUACCGCAUAACGUCGCAAGACCAAAGAGGGGGACCUUCGGGCCUCUUGCCAUCGGAUGUGCCCAGAUGGGAUUAGCUAGUAGGUGGGGUAACGGCUCACCUAGGCGACGAUCCCUAGCUGGUCUGAGAGGAUGACCAGCCACACUGGAACUGAGACACGGUCCAGACU